This 253-nucleotide ribosomal RNA is filed under the name uncultured bacterium. RNAcentral describes it as "partial 16S ribosomal RNA". It matches the Rfam family "Bacterial small subunit ribosomal RNA", at positions 524 to 776 of the family's 1533-position model. The record is from RNAcentral.
UACGUAGGGUGCAAGCGUUAAUCGGAAUUACUGGGCGUAAAGCGUGCGCAGGCGGUUGUGCAAGACCGAUGUGAAAUCCCCGGGCUCAACCUGGGAAUGGCAUUGGUGACUGCACGGCUAGAGUGUGUCAGAGGGGGGUAGAAUUCCACGUGUAGCAGUGAAAUGCGUAGAGAUGUGGAGGAACACCGAUGGCGAAGGCAGCCCCCUGGGUCAACACUGACGCUCAUGCACGAAAGCGUGGGGAGCAAACAGG